Molecule: ribosomal RNA, 253 nt
Filed under: uncultured bacterium
Lineage: Bacteria
Description: partial 16S ribosomal RNA
Rfam family: Bacterial small subunit ribosomal RNA
Source: RNAcentral
UACGUAGGGUGCGAGCGUUGUCCGGAAUUAUUGGGCGUAAAGAGCUUGUAGGCGGUUUGUCGCGUCUGCUGUGAAAAUCCGGGGCUCAACCCCGGACUUGCAGUGGGUACGGGCAGACUAGAGUGUGGUAGGGGAGACUGGAAUUCCUGGUGUAGCGGUGAAAUGCGCAGAUAUCAGGAGGAACACCGAUGGCGAAGGCAGGACUCUGGGCCACUACUGACGCUGAGAAGCGAAAGCGUGGGGAGCGAACAGG